RNAcentral lists this unclassified non-coding RNA (400 nucleotides) under soil metagenome. Its description in RNAcentral is "partial contains 5.8S ribosomal RNA, internal transcribed spacer 2, and large subunit ribosomal RNA". The stretch from base 1 to 122 matches the Rfam family "5.8S ribosomal RNA", at positions 35 to 154 of the family's 154-position model. The record is from RNAcentral.
GAUGAAGAACGCAGCGAAAUGCGAUACUUGGUGUGAAUUGCAGAAUCCCGUGAACCAUCGAGUCUUUGAACGCAAGUUGCGCCCGAAGCCAUCAGGUUGAGGGCACGUCUGCCUGGGCGUCACAUAUCGUUGCCUGAUGCCAGUUUCCUCGUGAUGGGUGACUGUGCAGGGCGAAUGAUGGCUUCCCGUGAGCAUUGUUGCCUCAUGGUUGGUUGAAAAUUGAGUCCUUGGUAGGGAGCGCCGUGAUAGAUGGUGGUUGAGUGACGAACGAGACCCAAUCAUGUGAGACCCCUACCGAAUUUGGCCUUCAUGACCCACAUGCGUCUUUGGAACGCUCAUGACGAGACCUCAGGUCAGGCGGGGCUACCCGCUGAGUUUAAGCAUAUCAAUAAGCGGAGGA